GACGAACGCUGGCGGCGUGCUUAACACAUGCAAGUCGAACGGAAAGGCCCUGCUUUUGUGGGGUGCUCGAGUGGCGAACGGGUGAGUAACACGUGAGUAACCUGCCCUUGACUUUGGGAUAACUUCAGGAAACUGGGGCUAAUACCGGAUAGGAGCUCCUGCUGCAUGGUGGGGGUUGGAAAGUUUCGGCGGUUGGGGAUGGACUCGCGGCUUAUCAGCUUGUUGGUGGGGUAGUGGCUUACCAAGGCUUUGACGGGUAGCCGGCCUGAGAGGGUGACCGGCACAAUGGGAAUGAGAGACGGACCAGAGCCCUACGGGGGGCAAGAGGGGGGAAUAUUGGCCAAAGGGGCGAAGGCUGAUGCCAACAACCCGGGGGCGGGAAGAACGGCCUUGGGGUGGAAACCGCUUUUGGCCGGGACCAAGCGGUAGGGAAGGUAAUGGGUAAAGAAGCACCGGCUAACUACGUG
This 467-nucleotide ribosomal RNA is filed under the name uncultured bacterium. RNAcentral describes it as "partial 16S ribosomal RNA". It matches the Rfam family "Bacterial small subunit ribosomal RNA", at positions 28 to 507 of the family's 1533-position model. The record is from RNAcentral.